AUUUCGUGGAAAUGUGCAGGUUCUGAGAAUUCUUCCUUUCGACGUCCAGUCCCUCGUAGUGGAAACAUAUGUGACUGGGAAUUAAGAAUCUAUAUCAUGAAAAGGAUAUACGAAGACACAGAAAAGUGUUACAACAUGUGACAUAUCUAAUUAUCGUCCAAUGAAACGCAGUACAUUUGCGAUGUGACGAAGUAACCAGAAAAAAUUAAGGUAAUCCUAAGGAUCGUGGAUUUCAACAAUUUGAUUGAAACAAAGCAUUUAAGUGAUCCAUUAAAGUUGCUACAUCAUGAAGGAACCGCAGACUUCCCUGAAAUUGACAUGAAAGUUAGAACUUGCUCGAAUAUGCGUUUAAUGUGCAUUUCACGAAAUGCGCACAUUACAGGAGAAAGUAAUAAUACUUCGCAACAGUACAAAAUAGCAGAUUGUUAAUUCAUCUGAAAGAGUUUUGACAAAAUUCUGUAUUUUCAAGUUCAAGUUACUUUGUUAUUUACUAAAAUUAUUGUAUUUACUCCUCUAUUUUCCUAUUUUUAAGCAGUAAAGACUUCGACUCCAGUUGGAGUUUCAGUAUGUGAAGCAAUGGUAUACUAACGCCACAUGUUUCUUUUUCCUUUUAGUAAUAAAAUUUUUGAAAUUCG
Molecule: long non-coding RNA, 635 nt
Organism: Stegodyphus dumicola
Lineage: Eukaryota; Metazoa; Arthropoda; Arachnida; Araneae; Eresidae
Source: RefSeq, a predicted model, not a curated record